This 256-nucleotide ribosomal RNA is filed under the name uncultured archaeon. Its description in RNAcentral is "partial 16S ribosomal RNA". It matches the Rfam family "Bacterial small subunit ribosomal RNA", at positions 521 to 776 of the family's 1533-position model. The record is from RNAcentral.
UAAUACGUAGGGUGCGAGCGUUAAUCGGAAUUACUGGGCGUAAAGCGUGCGCAGGCGGUUUUGUAAGCCAGAUGUGAAAUCCCCGGGCUCAACCUGGGAAUGGCAUUUGGGACUGCAAGGCUGGAGUGUGGCAGAGGGGACUAGAAUUCCUGGUGUAGCAGUGAAAUGCGUAGAUAUCAGGAGGAAUACCGAUGGCGAAGGCAGGUCCCUGGGUUAACACUGACGCUCAUGCACGAAAGCGUGGGGAGCAAACAGG